RNAcentral lists this unclassified non-coding RNA (236 nucleotides) under uncultured fungus. Its description in RNAcentral is "sequence contains ITS1". Lineage: Eukaryota; Fungi. The record is from RNAcentral.
UGGAUCAUUAUCGUUGAUAAUGUUUUUUGUUUUUAAGAUUUUCUUUCAAUACAUUGGUUUUAAAAUUCAGAAUCCAAACAUACACCCGUAGGGAGAGGAAUGGAAUACGUUUCUGAGGUUUCACGUGGAGCACAAAAGCCUUUGAGGAGUUUCCCCCUCUCGGGACUUUCGUUAGGAACUUGCGUUCCAGAGGUUUUGGAGUGGUAAUGAUCCUUCCGCAGGUUCACCUACGGAAA